This 253-nucleotide ribosomal RNA is filed under the name uncultured bacterium. RNAcentral's name for it is "partial 16S ribosomal RNA". It matches the Rfam family "Bacterial small subunit ribosomal RNA", at positions 524 to 776 of the family's 1533-position model. The record is from RNAcentral.
UACGUAGGGGGCAAGCGUUGUCCGGAAUCAUUGGGCGUAAAGAGCGUGUAGGCGGCCCGGUAAGUCCGCUGUGAGAUUCCAGGGCUCAACCCUGGGAUGCCGGUGGAUACUGUCGGGCUCGAGUCCGGAAGAGGAGUGUGGAAUUCCUGGUGUAGCGGUGAAAUGCGCAGAUAUCAGGAGGAACACCAAUGGCGAAGGCAGCACUCUGGGACGUGACUGACGCUGAGACGCGAAAGCGUGGGGAGCAAACAGG